RNAcentral lists this transfer RNA (75 nucleotides) under Fodinibius sp. RNAcentral describes it as "tRNA-Arg". It matches the Rfam family "tRNA". From Rfam's summary of the family: Transfer RNA (tRNA) molecules are approximately 80 nucleotides in length. Their secondary structure includes four short double-helical elements and three loops (D, anti-codon, and T loops). The record is from RNAcentral. RNAcentral also lists the same sequence under 2 other names. Lineage: Bacteria; Pseudomonadati; Balneolota; Balneolia; Balneolales; Balneolaceae.
GACCCCGUAGUUCAAUGGAUAGAACAAGGGUUUCCUAAACCUUAGAUACAGGUUCGAUUCCUGUCGGGGUCACCA